RNAcentral lists this ribosomal RNA (347 nucleotides) under Synechococcus sp. KUAC 3076. RNAcentral's name for it is "bacterial SSU rRNA". It matches the Rfam family "Bacterial small subunit ribosomal RNA", at positions 397 to 759 of the family's 1533-position model. The record is from RNAcentral. Lineage: Bacteria; Bacillati; Cyanobacteriota; Cyanophyceae; Synechococcales; Synechococcaceae.
CCGCGUGAAGGAUGAAGGCCUCUGGGCUGUAAACCUCUUUUCUCAAGGAAGAAGAUCUGACGGUACUUGAGGAAUAAGCCACGGCUAAUUCCGUGCCAGCAGCCGCGGUAAUACGGGAGUGGCAAGCGUUAUCCGGAAUUAUUGGGCGUAAAGCGUCCGCAGGCGGCCCUUCAAGUCUGCUGUUAAAAAGUGGAGCUUAACUCCAUCGUGGCAGUGGAAACUGUUGGGCUAGAGUGUGGUAGGGGCAGAGGGAAUUCCCGGUGUAGCGGUGAAAUGCGUAGAUAUCGGGAAGAACACCAGUGGCGAAGGCGCUCUGCUGGGCCAUAACUGACGCUCAUGGACGAAAG